RNAcentral lists this ribosomal RNA (427 nucleotides) under uncultured bacterium. Its description in RNAcentral is "bacterial SSU rRNA". It matches the Rfam family "Bacterial small subunit ribosomal RNA", at positions 355 to 775 of the family's 1533-position model. The record is from RNAcentral.
UGGGGAAUCUUGCGCAAUGGGCGAAAGCCUGACGCAGCGACGCCGCGUGGGGGAAGAAGGCCUUCGGGUUGUAAACCUCUUUCAGAAGGGACGAAGCUACUCGGGUGAACAGCCCAGAGGGUGACGGUACCUUCAGAAGAAGCCCCGGCUAACUACGUGCCAGCAGCCGCGGUAAUACGUAGGGGGCGAGCGUUGUCCGGAUUUAUUGGGCGUAAAGAGCGUGUAGGCGGCCUGGCAGGUCCGUUGUGAAAACUCGAGGCUUAACCUCGAGACGUCGACGGAAACCGUCAGGCUAGAGUCCGGAAGAGGAGAGUGGAAUUCCUGGUGUAGCGGUGAAAUGCGCAGAUAUCAGGAAGAACACCCGUGGCGAAGGCGGCUCUCUGGGACGGUACUGACGCUGAGACGCGAAAGCGUGGGGAGCGAACAG